This 266-nucleotide long non-coding RNA is filed under the name Hordeum vulgare. Its description in RNAcentral is "long non-coding RNA (HVUL_LNC005790)". Lineage: Eukaryota; Viridiplantae; Streptophyta; Magnoliopsida; Poales; Poaceae. The record is from RNAcentral.
UACUAAAUCAGCUAGCACUAGACGGGCAAAACAUGCUCAUAAAUAUUGAUUAGUACUGGUCUAUAUGACUAUAUCCGUGCAAUACUGUACCUGACCUGGUCGACGUUGAAGUCAACUGACAAGAUCAAAGUUUUUCUGCUUAUUAAGAUAUGACCAAAGGCAACUACUGUAGUCAGAGUGACUCGUCUAGCUGGUGCCCUACUAGCUCAGAAUGGACGUUGAACUUGAAGUCAAGUAACAAGACCCAGCAUUUAUUUCUUCUACAU